RNAcentral lists this transfer RNA (73 nucleotides) under Camelus bactrianus (Bactrian camel). It matches the Rfam family "tRNA". Rfam says of the family: Transfer RNA (tRNA) molecules are approximately 80 nucleotides in length. Their secondary structure includes four short double-helical elements and three loops (D, anti-codon, and T loops). Lineage: Eukaryota; Metazoa; Chordata; Mammalia; Artiodactyla; Camelidae. RNAcentral also lists the same sequence under 2 other names. The record is from Rfam by way of RNAcentral.
GAGGGUAGAGCUCAGUGAUAGAGUGCUUGCCUUAGCAUGCAUGAGGUCCUGGGUUCUAUCCCCAGUACCUCCA